Long non-coding RNA from Coturnix japonica (Japanese quail), 784 nucleotides. RefSeq lists it as uncharacterized. The record is from RefSeq and is a predicted model, not a curated record. NCBI's taxonomy places the organism in Eukaryota, Metazoa, Chordata, Aves, Galliformes, Phasianidae.
CACCUGGUGAUAUAGAUAGCAUACAUGAGAUGGUACGGUUUAGGUGCUGCCAAAGUCAUAAUGGGAUGCUGAGCUAGGGAAUACCCGUGAUGUUAAAGCACUCGUGCGCAGUUGAUCUCUUGAGCUCAACUUCAGCAUUAAAGCAGUGCGGCCUUGUCAGAAUUUUCUGGCCCUUCCCAGCAGCCGAGUUACCUUGCUGUGCUGCCGCUUCACUUCAUCAGCCUAAAUAGAAACAGCAGAGCCGAUCGAGAUGGGGUUUUAAAACGCGUUUAAAUACAAGCGGCUGGUCCCCCUCUUGCCUCAUCUCUCCCUAUUCAGCCGCUUUCCCCCCCGGCAGCAGCCGGCUGCUAUGGGCUGCAGAGCCACCUGCCGGCAUCACCUCUUCCCCGCAGCUGCAGUCUGCCUCCUCCUCUGUGCUCGCUGCUGCUUUUCUCCAAUCUCCCCUUUUUUGUUUCGUUUUGCUGAUUGCAGCCCCGCUGCCGUUCGGAGCUAUUUGCGUGGCAGCCGCCAGGGGGAGAACUCUCCGCUCCCUCGUAGCCCUCAACGACGAGGUGGAAGAAAGCAGCGGACGGGGCGGGGAUGGGCCGCUGCUGCCAGAGCCUGAGAGGAAGAGGGGAGUUCAGGCUCAGUUUUAACCAUAAACAUACUGUGCAGGGUACCAAAGGAACAAAGCCUGGCUAACUAAAGGCUAUGUGGCAAAUAAAAGAUGCCAGCAGGAUGAGAUGUCAUGGUUCUGUUCUGCAGAUCAUUCCAAGUGAACUGCUAUUAACACCAUGUGAAGGGU